RNAcentral lists this ribosomal RNA (119 nucleotides) under Mastacembelus armatus (zig-zag eel). The record is from RNAcentral. Lineage: Eukaryota; Metazoa; Chordata; Actinopteri; Synbranchiformes; Mastacembelidae.
GGGGAUGGCCACACAGUCCUGUGACUGCCCGAUCCCAUCAGACCUCGGAAGCCAAGCAGGGCCGGGCUUGGCUAGUACUUAGAUGGGAGGCUGCCUUGGAAGAUCAGGGGCCGUCAGCC